AGACAUCUCGUAUUAAACGGUUUUUAAAUACACCGUUUUGUUUUGAUCUCUCCUCUGUAUUCCCUCGUAUAGUCUAUGUUGUAUGUUCUUCGUUCUUUAUUAUUUGUUUCUUUUGUAUUUAAUAAUAUAUCUGCUGAAAGAAACUCGCUGCUGUAUUCAUUGUAUUGUCGUGAAGCUUCAGAAUCACCUCGGGUCUGCCAGCCAUCGUCAGUGCAGGAGGCUACGCCUGGCUGAGCUGUGCGCUCCGGCGACAACAAAAGAGCAAUCAUGACUAGUGGGGGGAAAUCAGCGUGAGCUUGCCCGUCAGAAGAAUGCUAAGAAGAACAAUGAACAUGCCAAAGGGAAGAGAAAUGAGGAUGGCCUCUCAGCAGCUGCCCGUAAGCAAAGUAUUAUUGUAUUUCAGAGAUGCUGAAAUC
Carassius carassius (crucian carp) is the source of this 416-nucleotide long non-coding RNA. RefSeq lists it as uncharacterized. NCBI's taxonomy places the organism in Eukaryota, Metazoa, Chordata, Actinopteri, Cypriniformes, Cyprinidae. The transcript has 3 exons. The record is from RefSeq and is a predicted model, not a curated record.